Molecule: ribosomal RNA, 316 nt
Filed under: Pseudocuma simile
Lineage: Eukaryota; Metazoa; Arthropoda; Malacostraca; Cumacea; Pseudocumatidae
Description: bacterial SSU rRNA
Rfam family: Eukaryotic small subunit ribosomal RNA
Source: RNAcentral
GCGAAUGGCUCAUUAAAUCAGUCAUAAUUUACUGGAUCUCGAUUCAUCCUUACUUGGAUAACUGUGGUAAUUCUAGAGCUAAUACAUGCAUAUAAGCUCUGAUCCGCGUUUCGGCGCGGUGAUGGGCGCAUUUAUUAGACCCAAACCGAUCUACCUAUUCCUUGUGAAUGGUAAUGGGGACUCUGAAUAACUCANCCGAGCGCGAGGGUCUUCGGACCAGCGCCGUAUCCAUCGAGAGUCUGCCUUAUCAGCUAUAUUGUAAGGUAUUGGCUUACAAUUGCUGUGACGGGUAACGGGGAAUCAGGGUUCGAUUCCG